UACGUAGGGCGCGAGCGUUGUCCGGAAUUAUUGGGCGUAAAGAGCUCGUAGGCGGUUUGUCGCGUCUGCUGUGAAAACCCGAGGCUCAACCUCGGACUUGCAGUGGGUACGGGCAGACUUGAGUGCGGCAGGGGAGACUGGAAUUCCUGGUGUAGCGGUGAAAUGCGCAGAUAUCGGGAGGAACACCAAUGGCGAAGGCGGUUGCCUGGGGCUUUGCUGACGCUGAUGAGCGAAAGCGUGGGGAGCGAUCAGG
RNAcentral lists this ribosomal RNA (253 nucleotides) under uncultured bacterium. RNAcentral describes it as "partial 16S ribosomal RNA". It matches the Rfam family "Bacterial small subunit ribosomal RNA", at positions 524 to 776 of the family's 1533-position model. The record is from RNAcentral.